GCCCGGGUGGUGGAAUGGCAGACACGGAGGGCUUAAACCCCUCUGCUCCGGUUACGGGGCGUGUGGGUUCGACUCCCACCCCGGGCA
Molecule: transfer RNA, 87 nt
Filed under: Acidimicrobiales bacterium
Lineage: Bacteria; Bacillati; Actinomycetota; Acidimicrobiia; Acidimicrobiales
Description: tRNA-Leu
Rfam family: tRNA
About the family: Transfer RNA (tRNA) molecules are approximately 80 nucleotides in length. Their secondary structure includes four short double-helical elements and three loops (D, anti-codon, and T loops).
Source: RNAcentral